Molecule: long non-coding RNA, 393 nt
Organism: Amphimedon queenslandica
Lineage: Eukaryota; Metazoa; Porifera; Demospongiae; Haplosclerida; Niphatidae
Exons: 2
Source: RefSeq, a predicted model, not a curated record
AGGUGUGUCCUUGCCCACGUGUAUGUAAAAGAAAUGGCUGAUAGUUCUUUAGACAAAUCUUUAGAUAAACCACCUCCAGCCCCUAAACUUGGCCGUGGAUUGAGUAAACAGUAUUCAAUAUACCCCAGGAAACCAUCACUAAAGACUCUCCUUGGUACUCUCACUGCUGCCAUUGAUGUGGUCAAAUUUUUGUACAGUAAUGACUUCACGAGAUCUGUUGGCAGAGAUAUAAUAUUCUUUGGUGGAUCAGUUGUUAUAAUAAAGAUGGUUGUCAGUGCAAUGCAAGAAGAAUGAAUAGUUAAUUAAUAAUUCUGACAUUAUUAAUAGUCAUGUGUCUGUUUAUGUACUACUCUUGCAAUAUUCAUUAGUUCUGUGCUAGCUUGUGAAUUUGGA